Molecule: ribosomal RNA, 1492 nt
Filed under: uncultured Bordetella sp.
Lineage: Bacteria; Pseudomonadati; Pseudomonadota; Betaproteobacteria; Burkholderiales; Alcaligenaceae
Description: partial 16S-23S ribosomal RNA intergenic spacer
Rfam family: Bacterial small subunit ribosomal RNA
Source: RNAcentral
GGUUCGAUCAUGGCUCAGAUUGAACGCUGGCGGGAUGUUUUACACAUGCAAGUCGAACGGCAGUAUUUAAUUUCCUUGGCCCUGGCGGGCGAGUGGCGAACGGGUGAGUAAUGUAUCGGAACGUGCCUAGUAGCGGGGAUAACUACGCGAAAGGUAGCUAAUACCGCAUACGCCCUUCGGGGGAAAGCGGGGACCUUCGGGCCUCUCGCACUAUUAGAGCGGCCGAUAUCGGAUUAGCUAGUUGGUGGGGUAACGGCUCACCGAAGGCGACGAUCCGUAGCUGGUUUGAGAGGACGACCAGCCACACUGGGACUGAGACACGGCCCAGACUCCUACGGGAGGCAGCAGUGGGGAAUUUUGGACAAUGGGGGGAAACCUCCUGAUCCAGCCAUCCUUACGUGUGCGUAUAAGGCCUUGGUUGUAAAGCACUCUCUUGGCAGGAAGAAACGGCACGGGAUAAUACCCCGUGCAACUGACGGUACCUGCAGAAUAAGCAAUCGGCUAACUACGUGCCGUGCCGCGGUAAUACGUGAGGCAAGCGUUAAUCGGAAUGGCGGCGUAAAGGGCAAGUGGUUCGGAAAGAAAGAUGUGAAAUCCGCAGAGCUUAACUUUGAACUGCAUUUUUAACUACCGAGCUAGAGUGUGUCAGAGGGAGGUGGAAUUCGCGUAGCAGCAGUCGUGUAGAUAUGCGGAGGAACACCAUGGCGUGAAGGCAGCCCCUUGGGAUAACACGACGCCUAUGCACGAAAGCGUGGGAGCAAACAGGAUUAGGAUACCCUGGUAGUCCACGCCCUAAACGAUGUCAACUAGCUGUUGGGGCCUUCGGGUCUUUGGUAGCGCAGCUAACGCGUGAAGUUGACCACCUGGGGAGUACGGUCGUAAAGAUUAAAACUCAAAGGAAUUGAUAGGACCGCACAAGCGGUGGAUGAUGUGGAUUAAUCGAUGCAACGCGAAACUCAUCACCCUGACAUGGUUCGAACCUGAAGAUUUGGGGAGCUCGCAAGAGAACCGGGAACACAGGUGCUGGCAACAGUCGCCAGCUCGCGGGUCGCUGGAGAUGCUGCUAACCUGCAACGAGCGCAACCCUUGUCAUUAGUUGCUACGAAAGGGCACCUAAUGAGACUGCCGGUGACAAACCGGAGGAAGGUGGGGAUGACGUCAAGUCCUCAUGGCCUUGCGGUAGGGCUUCACACGUCAUACAAUGGUCGGGAGCGAGGGUCGCCAACCCGCGAGGGGGCCAAUCCCAGAAACCCGAUCGUAGUCCGGAUCGCGAAGCUGCAACCUGACUGCGUGAAGUCGGAAUCGCUGAAAAUCGCGGAUCAGCAUGUCGCGGUAACAUGCUCCCGGGUCUUGUACACACCGCCCGUCGAACGGCGGGAGGCUCACCAGAAGUAGUUAGCCUAACCGUAAGGAGGGCGAUUACCACUUACAGGAUUCUGGUGAUCGGGGUGAAGUCGUAACAAGGUAGCCCUGUUAUUUACCCAUGAGUUCC